This 580-nucleotide ribosomal RNA is filed under the name uncultured rumen bacterium. RNAcentral's name for it is "bacterial SSU rRNA". It matches the Rfam family "Bacterial small subunit ribosomal RNA", at positions 194 to 788 of the family's 1533-position model. The record is from RNAcentral.
GGCGCCGGGAAAGCCCUGACGGCGAGGGAUGGGCCCGCGGCCUGUUAGCUUGUUGGCGGGGUAACGGCCCACCAAGGCGAUUAUGGGUAGCCGGGUUGAGAGACCGACCGGCCAGAUUGGGACUGAGACACGGCCCAGACUCCUACGGGAGGCAGCAGUGGGGAAUCUUGCACAAUGGGCGAAAGCCUGAUGCAGCGACGCCGCGUGCGGGACGAAGGCCUUCGGGUUGUAAACCGCUUUCAGCAGGGACGAGGCCGCAAGGUGACGGUACCUGCAGAAGAAGCCCCGGCUAACUACGUGCCAGCAGCCGCGGUAAUACGUAGGGGGCGAGCGUUAUCCGGAUUCAUUGGGCGUAAAGCGCGCGUAGGCGGCCUGCUAGGUCGGGACUCAAAUCCGGGGGCUCAACCCCCGCCCGGUCCCGAUACCGACAGGCUUGAGUCUGGUAGGGGAAGGCGGAAUUCCAAGUGUAGCGGUGGAAUGCGCAGAUAUUUGGAAGAACACCGGUGGCGAAGGCGGCCUUCUGGGCCACGACUGACGCUGAGGCGCGAAAGCUAGGGGAGCGAACAGGAUUAGAUACCCU